AACGAACGCUGGCGGCAUGCCUAACACAUGCAAGUCGAACGAGACCUUCGGGUCUAGUGGCGCACGGGUGUGUAACGCGUGGGAACCUGCCCUUAGGUUCGGAAUAACUCCCCGAAAGGGGUGCUAAUACCGGAUAAUGUCUUCGGACCAAAGAUUUAUCGCCUUUGGAUGGGCCCGCGUUGGAUUAGCUUGUUGGUAGGGUAAAAGCCUACCAAGGCGACGAUCCAUAGCUGGUCUGAGAGGAUGAUCAGCCACACUGGGACUGAGACACGGCCCAGACUCCUACGGGAAGCAGCAGUGGGGAAUAUUGGACAAUGGGCGAAAGCCUGAUCCAGCAAUGCCGCGUGAGUGAUGAAGGCCUUAGGGUUGUAAAGCUCUUUUACCCGGGAUGAUAAUGACAGUACCGGGAGAAUAAGCUCCGGCUAACUCCGUG
RNAcentral lists this ribosomal RNA (433 nucleotides) under uncultured bacterium. RNAcentral's name for it is "partial 16S ribosomal RNA". It matches the Rfam family "Bacterial small subunit ribosomal RNA", at positions 29 to 507 of the family's 1533-position model. The record is from RNAcentral.